Molecule: long non-coding RNA, 1086 nt
Filed under: Anas platyrhynchos platyrhynchos (common mallard)
Lineage: Eukaryota; Metazoa; Chordata; Aves; Anseriformes; Anatidae
Description: lncRNA (ENSAPLG00000026012.1)
Source: RNAcentral
CUUAAAAUCAUCUUUAGAAGCUCUGCUCCAACUCAACACUGGGUGUAUUUCAGGUCUCUGAAUAAAGCUCACCACUUCCAUUCUGGGUUAUUCUCCUAGAUACAUAAUUUACUAGGAUAUUUUACAUUUUAAAAGAAACCUCAGAAUAAGCUUCUUAUUGCCCUUCAAGGAUUGCCAGCGCUACCCGUCAGGAAACCCUGACCUUAAAAUCAUGAAUGUAAAGUAAUAUAUGUGUAUGUAUAUAUAUAUAUAUGUAUGUAUUUUUUAUGUAUAUAUUUUUAUGUAUAUAUUUAUAGAUUUAUUUCCUAUGAGCUUGUCCAGGUGUGUUUUUCCCCCUUGGCACUUCAGGUGGGUUAGCUGCCUUGUGUUCAUGAUUCCUUGUCCAUGUCCCUCCCAGCGAGAGAAAGAAACAACAGAAUGAAAUGGUGUGGUCCUCCUGAACUGGAGCUGAAAGCUGACCUGUGAUGGGCCAUCCAGCCCUUUAAAUAAAGCCAUGGGAAAACACUUCUGGUCUGGAGUCAGGCCUGGAUUAGAAGUUACAGGUUGUUACUCUCUUUUUUAAACCAUGCCUAGGGUUGGGUAGGGGUCAGCAACGAGCAGAGGCAAGGGUAGUAGAUUGUCUGACUUUUUGGUUGCCUUGCAAGUGCAAGGUUAUGAUGCAGUGUUCCUGUUCCUGCUGAAAUGUUGUUGGCAGUCUCAGAGAACAAGGAGCCCAGGGGGACAGCCAGGUGGGCAGGCAGAGUCACUUCUGGGAACGGCUUUCACCUGGUCUCAUUUUGGCCAGGUGCUGCCUGUUUUCUCCGGCGUGCCCUUUUUUGCUGCAGCAGGAGGUUGGCUGAGAGUAAUUUUGAAGAAAGGUAUUGUGGAGGUAGAAGCAUUUUUUUUCCCUUUGCAACGUUACAAAAUUUUAUAUUUACCUUUACAAGAUCUGUUUCAGAAGAGAUGGAGCUAUCUGCAAAGAUUUUCGUUUAUGCGAUGUGUUCGUUGUGGUGCAGUGCUGUGGGAGGUUUUGUGCAUGCCUGCAGGGAACACAAAAAGCCAGGUUGAGCCUCCUGGCCUCCGCAGCAGUGCAGGGGAUGUCAGCAG